UGUACAAUGUAGCUGCCUCUCUCUUC
Molecule: non-coding RNA, 26 nt
Filed under: Homo sapiens (human)
Lineage: Eukaryota; Metazoa; Chordata; Mammalia; Primates; Hominidae
Source: RNAcentral